AAUGACCGUACCCCAAACCGACACAGGUGGAUAGGUAGAGAAUACCAAGGCGCUUGAGAGAACUAUGUUGAAGGAACUCGGCAAAUUGCCUCCGUAACUUCGGGAGAAGGAGGCCCUCUAUUAAGGCAACUUUUUAGAGGGGGCACAGACCAGGGGGUGGCGACUGUUUACUAAAAACACAGGGCUCUGCGAAGUCGUAAGACGACGUAUAGGGUCUGACGCCUGCCCGGUGCCGGAAGGUCACGCGGAGGGGUUAGCGCGAGCGAAG
This 268-nucleotide ribosomal RNA is filed under the name Florenciella parvula. RNAcentral's name for it is "partial Bacterial large subunit ribosomal RNA". It matches the Rfam family "Bacterial large subunit ribosomal RNA", at positions 1637 to 1904 of the family's 2925-position model. The record is from RNAcentral. Lineage: Eukaryota; Dictyochophyceae; Florenciellales.